RNAcentral lists this ribosomal RNA (1304 nucleotides) under Aspergillus niger. Its description in RNAcentral is "SSU rRNA". It matches the Rfam family "Eukaryotic small subunit ribosomal RNA", at positions 46 to 1339 of the family's 1831-position model. The record is from RNAcentral. Lineage: Eukaryota; Fungi; Ascomycota; Eurotiomycetes; Eurotiales; Aspergillaceae.
GGGUUCGUACAUGUCUAGUAUAAGCACUUUAUACUGUGAAACUGCGAAUGGCUCAUUAAAUCAGUUAUCGUUUAUUUGAUAGUACCUUACUACAUGGAUACCUGUGGUAAUUCUAGAGCUAAUACAUGCUGAAAACCUCGACUUCGGAAGGGGUGUAUUUAUUAGAUAAAAAACCAAUGCCCUUCGGGGCUCCUUGGUGAAUCAUAAUAACUUAACGAAUCGCAUGGCCUUGCGCCGGCGAUGGUUCAUUCAAAUUUCUGCCCUAUCAACUUUCGAUGGUAGGAUAGUGGCCUACCAUGGUGGCAACGGGUAACGGGGAAUUAGGGUUCGAUUCCGGAGAGGGAGCCUGAGAAACGGCUACCACAUCCAAGGAAGGCAGCAGGCGCGCAAAUUACCCAAUCCCGACACGGGGAGGUAGUGACAAUAAAUACUGAUACGGGGCUCUUUUGGGUCUCGUAAUUGGAAUGAGUACAAUCUAAAUCCCUUAACGAGGAACAAUUGGAGGGCAAGUCUGGUGCCAGCAGCCGCGGUAAUUCCAGCUCCAAUAGCGUAUAUUAAAGUUGUUGCAGUUAAAAAGCUCGUAGUUGAACCUUGGGUCUGGCUGGCCGGUCCGCCUCACCGCGAGUACUGGUCCGGCUGGACCUUUCCUUCUGGGGAAUCUCAUGGCCUUCACUGGCUGUGGGGGGAACCAGGACUUUUACUGUGAAAAAAUUAGAGUGUUCAAAGCAGGCCUUUGCUCGAAUACAUUAGCAUGGAAUAAUAGAAUAGGACGUGCGGUUCUAUUUUGUUGGUUUCUAGGACCGCCGUAAUGAUUAAUAGGGAUAGUCGGGGGCGUCAGUAUUCAGCUGUCAGAGGUGAAAUUCUUGGAUUUGCUGAAGACUAACUACUGCGAAAGCAUUCGCCAAGGAUGUUUUCAUUAAUCAGGGAACGAAAGUUAGGGGAUCGAAGACGAUCAGAUACCGUCGUAGUCUUAACCAUAAACUAUGCCGACUAGGGAUCGGACGGUGUUUCUAUUAUGACCCGUUCGGCACCUUACGAGAAAUCAAAGUUUUUGGGUUCUGGGGGGGAGUAUGGUCGCAAGGCUGAAACUUAAAGAAAUUGACGGAAGGGCACCACCAGGGCGUGGAACCUGGCGGCUUAAUUUGACUCAACACGGGGAAAACUCACCAGGGUCCGAACAAAAUAAGGGAUUGGACAAAUUGGAAAGCUCUUUCUUGGAACUUUUUGGAAGGGGGGGGCAUGCGCCCGUUCUUAAAUUGGGGGGAAAGGAUUUUGUCCGGCUUAAUUUGCGUAAAACGAACGGG